GAUGAACGCUGGCGGCGUGCCUAAUACAUGCAAGUCGAGCGAACAGACGAGGAGCUUGCUCCUUUGACGUUAGCGGCGGACGGGUGAGUAACACGUAGGUAACCUACCUAUAAGACUGGUAUAACUUCGAGAAACCGGAGCUAAUACCGGAUAAUAUUUCGAACCGCAUGGUUCGAUAGUGAAAGAUGGCUUUGCUAUCACUUAUAGAUGGACCUGCGCUGUAUUAGCUAGUUGGUAAGGUAACGGCUUACCAAGGCAACGAUACGUAGCCGACGUGAGAGGGUGAUAGGCCACCCUGGAACUGAGACACGGUCCAGACUCCUACGGGAGGCAGCAGUAGGGAAUCUGCCGCAAUGGGCGAAAGCCUGACGGAGCAACGCCGCGUGAGUGAUGAAGGUCUUCGGAUCGUAAAACUCUGUUAUUAGGGAAGAACAAACGUGUAAGUAACUGUGCACGUCUUGACGGUACCUAAUCAGAAAGCCACGGCUAACUACGUG
Molecule: ribosomal RNA, 497 nt
Filed under: uncultured bacterium
Lineage: Bacteria
Description: partial 16S ribosomal RNA
Rfam family: Bacterial small subunit ribosomal RNA
Source: RNAcentral